RNAcentral lists this unclassified non-coding RNA (330 nucleotides) under soil metagenome. RNAcentral's name for it is "partial contains 5.8S ribosomal RNA, internal transcribed spacer 2, and large subunit ribosomal RNA". The stretch from base 1 to 121 matches the Rfam family "5.8S ribosomal RNA", at positions 35 to 154 of the family's 154-position model. The record is from RNAcentral.
GAUGAAGAACGUAGCGAAAUGCGAUAAGUAAUGCGAAUUGCAGAAUUCCAGUGAGUCAUCGAAUCUUUGAACGCACAUUGCGCCCAUUGGUAUUCCGAGGGGCAUGCCUGUUCGAGCGUCAUUAUAACCCCUCAAGCUCAGCUUGGUGUUGGGGCCUGCUGCACUGGCAGCCCUUAAAAUCAGUGGCGGCGCCAUCUGGCUCUAAGCGUAGUAAUUCUUCUCGCUAUGGAGUCCUGGUGGAUGCUUGCCAUCAACCCCCAAUUUUUCUAUGGUUGACCUCGGAUCAGGUAGGGAUACCCGCUGAACUUAAGCAUAUCAAUAAGCGGAGGA